UCUUGGUCCAUUAGAGGAAGUAAAAGUCGUAACAAGGUCUCCGUAGGUGAACCUGCGGAGGGAUCAUUACACAAAUAUGAAGGCGGGCUGGAACCUCUCGGGGUUACAGCCUUGCUGAAUUAUUCACCCUUGUCUUUUGCGUACUUCUUGUUUCCUUGGUGGGUUCGCCCACCACUAGGACAAACAUAAACCUUUUGUAAUUGCAAUCAGCGUCAGUAACAAAUUAAUAAUUACAACUUUCAACAACGGAUCUCUUGGUUCUGGCAUCGAUGAAGAACGCAGCGAAAUGCGAUAAGUAGUGUGAAUUGCAGAAUUCAGUGAAUCAUCGAAUCUUUGAACGCACAUUGCGCCCUUUGGUAUUCCAAAGGGCAUGCCUGUUCGAGCGUCAUUUGUACCCUCAAGCUUUGCUUGGUGUUGGGCGUCUUGUCUCUAGCUUUGCUGGAGACUCGCCUUAAAGUAAUUGGCAGCCGGCCUACUGGUUUCGGAGCGCAGCACAAGUCGCACUCUCUAUCAGCAAAGGUCUAGCAUCCAUUAAGCCUUUUUUUCAACUUUUGACCUCGGAUCAGGUAGGGAUACCCGCUGAACUUAAGCAUAUCAAUAGGCCGGAGGAA
This 611-nucleotide ribosomal RNA is filed under the name Alternaria alternata. RNAcentral describes it as "eukaryotic LSU rRNA". The stretch from base 235 to 388 matches the Rfam family "5.8S ribosomal RNA". The record is from RNAcentral. Lineage: Eukaryota; Fungi; Ascomycota; Dothideomycetes; Pleosporales; Pleosporaceae.